AUUGAACGCUGGCGGCAUGCUUUACACAUGCAAGUCGAACGGCAGCGCGGGCUUCGGCCUGGCGGCGAGUGGCGAACGGGUGAGUAAUACAUCGGAACGUGCCCAGUAGUGGGGGAUAGCUCGGCGAAAGCCGGAUUAAUACCGCAUACGACCUGAGGGUGAAAGCGGGGGAUCUUCGGACCUCGCGCUAUUGGAGCGGCCGAUGGCAGAUUAGCUAGUUGGUGGGGUAAAGGCCUACCAAGGCGACGAUCUGUAGCUGGUCUGAGAGGAUGACCAGCCACACUGGGACUGAGACACGGCCCAGACUCCUACGGGAGGCAGCAGUGGGGAAUUUUGGACAAUGGGCGAAAGCCUGAUUCAGCAAUGCCGCGUGUGUGAUGAAGGCCUUCGGGUUGUAAAGCACUUUUGGCGGGAACGAAAAGGACUGUGCCAAUACCACGGUUCGAUGACGGUACCCGCAGAAUAAGCACCGGCUAACUACGUG
RNAcentral lists this ribosomal RNA (484 nucleotides) under uncultured bacterium. RNAcentral describes it as "partial 16S ribosomal RNA". It matches the Rfam family "Bacterial small subunit ribosomal RNA", at positions 29 to 507 of the family's 1533-position model. The record is from RNAcentral.